Molecule: long non-coding RNA, 502 nt
Organism: Cervus elaphus (red deer)
Lineage: Eukaryota; Metazoa; Chordata; Mammalia; Artiodactyla; Cervidae
Exons: 3
Source: RefSeq, a predicted model, not a curated record
UUCCCAGAGUUGGGAUCUCUCCAACCUUUGCACAGGUUGUGCCCUUGGGCCUGGAACGUCCCCCUCCCCCUGUCUAGGAAAGGGUUCAUUUUCCUUUAGGAUACUAUUCAGAGAGCACCUCCUUCAAGAAGCCCUCCUGACCCCCGGGCUUCCCACCAGCCAAACGGGGAGUUCCAGAUGCCCAUAGGAGAAUGCCCAGCACUGCCCACCCACGGCUGGGCUCACAGACACUGGCAGGACCAGCAGAGGACUAGGCACUGGGGAGCCACAGAAGAACUCCUGACAGAGGGAUUCAAGAUCGGCUGUGAAGAGACUGACCCAGCUGCUCAUACUGAACCACAAAGGAGCCCUUGGCUUUAGGAAGAUCACUGACUCAGGAAGGAAUAUUCACAUGGAGUCAGGAAAUCUGAGUGACAACUCACCACCUUCUGACUUGCUUAGAAGACUGACCCCAACACUCUUGAGCUUCAGUAUCCUCAUCUGUAAAAGAAUAAUAAUUCCC